This 255-nucleotide non-coding RNA is filed under the name Clostridium sp. RNAcentral describes it as "T-box sequence". It matches the Rfam family "T-box leader". From Rfam's summary of the family: Uncharged tRNA acts as the effector for transcription antitermination of genes in the T-box leader family. T-boxes are found upstream of many aminoacyl-tRNA synthetase genes and some amino acid biosynthetic genes usually in Gram-positive bacteria. The record is from RNAcentral. Lineage: Bacteria; Bacillati; Bacillota; Clostridia; Eubacteriales; Clostridiaceae.
UCACAGACUAUGAAGAGAAGAGUAAGUAUAAGAUGUAGUUUAAGCGAGCUGGUGAAGGUGAAAGACCAGUACGAAGUUUAUACCGAAGAACAUCUCUGAGUUUCUAACCCAAAUCUAGAUUUUAGAAAGUAGGCUUAGACGGAGAACCGGACUGUUAAAACCGGAAAGUAUUAAUUAUGAUACUUUUAUCAAAGUUGAGCUUAUUGUAAAGCUAACUAGGGUGGUACCGCGGAAUUAUAACCUUUCGUCCCUUAU